This is an RNA transcript of Tachysurus fulvidraco (yellow catfish), 1133 nucleotides long. It is a transcript of the gene named salivary glue protein Sgs-3-like, with no coding region annotated. The transcript is spliced from 2 exons. NCBI's taxonomy places the organism in Eukaryota, Metazoa, Chordata, Actinopteri, Siluriformes, Bagridae. The record is from RefSeq and is a predicted model, not a curated record.
GGUGCAGUGAGAGGUGCAGUGAGAGGUGCAGUGAGAGGUGCAGUGAGAGGUGCAGGGGGAGGUGUAGGGGGAGGUGCAGUGGGAGGUGCAGGGGGAGGAAGAGGAGCAGGCCCAAGGAGAGGGCAAGGUAGAGGUGUAAGAAUGUGUGGUGGUGGCAUUCCAAGGGCUGCAAGAACAGUAGUCAGUGAUGAAAUUCGUGCCACUAUCAUUGACCAUGUAAUCAACACGGUCUCUCACUAAGAGAGGCUGGUGAAAGACUGCAACCCAAUUUGAGGCGGUCAACGGUUGCCUCCAUUAUUCGCAUCUUUCAACAAACCAACAGACAGAAUUGAAGGCCAACCAGGACUCUCAUGAAUUCAUUUACAUAGAUGAGGCAGGAUUCAAUCUAUCCAAAAGGCGUCGACGUGGACGAAAUAUAAUUGGAAAAAGGGCCACAGUUUAUGUGCCAGGACAGAGAGGGGCAAGCAUUACCAUGUGUGCAAGACCCGAUGUCCCACUGUACAAGACCCGAUGUCCCACUACACAAGACCCGAUGUCCCACUACACAAGACCCGAUGUCCCAACUACACAAGACCCGAUGUCCCAACUACACAAGACCCGAUGUCCCAACUACACAAGACCCGAUGUCCCAACUACACAAGACGCGAUGUCCCACUACACAAGACCCGAUGUCCCACUACACAAGACCCGAUGUCCCACUACACAAGACCCGAUGUCCCACUACACAAGACCCGAUGUCCCAACUACACAAGACCCGAUGUCCCAACUACACAAGACCCGAUGUCCCAACUACACAAGACCCGAUGUCCCACUUCACAAGACGCGAUGUCCCACUACACAAGACCCGAUGUCCCACUACACAAGACCCGAUGUCCCACUACACAAGACCCGAUGUCCCACUACACAAGACCCGAUGUCCCACUUCACAAGACCCGAUGUCCCACUACACAAGACCCGAUGUCCCACUACACAAGACCCGAUGCUCCAUUUCUUAUUAGAAUAGUGUUUUGUUGCUAAUGCUAACGCUAAUGCUAGCUUGCUAACGUUGCUAGCUUCACAAUAUUCACUACAGCUUUCUUAGUACGAUUUGUCCACUAAAAAAAACAGUUAAUUCUUCAAUCCUUACCUGAUAA